Long non-coding RNA from Homalodisca vitripennis (glassy-winged sharpshooter), 312 nucleotides. RefSeq lists it as uncharacterized. The transcript is spliced from 2 exons. The record is from RefSeq and is a predicted model, not a curated record. NCBI's taxonomy places the organism in Eukaryota, Metazoa, Arthropoda, Insecta, Hemiptera, Cicadellidae.
AAAAGAUCCGGUACCAUCCUUGUCUACAAAAACUACAAAAAGUGAGGUAAAGGCAGACAAAAGUAAGACAUAAAAGGUCCUUCCUGGGCUCAACACAAGAACCAAAAGAACAUUUAAGAAAUUUCUAACUAUAUUCGACUCCAAGAAAUGAGCAGAUUUUAAAAUGUGCAUAAAAUAAUUAGUUUACAAUGCGUUAGAAACAAGGAAACCAAAAUAAAUUUAUUUGUUUCAUAACAAAACCAUUUUUUCCAUGUACGCUACCUGUGUAGUCCACAGAUAUUUGUAAAAUUAAAACAAGUACGGUAGAAUAAA